This 253-nucleotide ribosomal RNA is filed under the name uncultured bacterium. Its description in RNAcentral is "partial 16S ribosomal RNA". It matches the Rfam family "Bacterial small subunit ribosomal RNA", at positions 524 to 776 of the family's 1533-position model. The record is from RNAcentral.
UACGUAGGAUGCAAGCGUUGUCCGGAAUUAUUGGGCGUAAAGAGCUCGUAGGCGGUUUGUCGCGUCUGCUGUGAAAACCUAGGGCUUAACCCUGGGCCUGCAGUGGGUACGGGCAGACUAGAGUGCGGUAGGGGAGACUGGAAUUCCUGGUGUAGCGGUGAAAUGCGCAGAUAUCAGGAGGAACACCGGUGGCGAAGGCGGGUCUCUGGGCAGUAACUGACGCUGAGGAGCGAAAGCGUGGGGAGCGAACAGG